AACAAAUCAGGCAUUUUAAGGGUCAUGCAAUGCAUCAAACUAGAAAAAGGAUUCCCCAAAAACAAGCAAGUGGAAAACUUCCUGCAGGAAAUGGGAAGGAAGCACCUGAGCAUUUUGCAGACCUGAGAUUGCAUUCAAAUGCAUUUGCAAGGAUCCAGGCAAAAAGACUUUCCUUCUGUCCUUUCCAAUGAGACUUCAGGUGAAGGACAUUGUGUUCAUGGACACCCUGUAUAUGGCUGCUCCACUUCAGACUGUUGUCUGAGAGAUGCGAGAAGUCAAAGUGAACUUCACACUGCUGAACAUAAGCAGGGAGGAAGAGAACAGCAAUAUCUGAGAAACCCUACAGUAUGACCAGAAAAGGGCACAGACUAUUUGAGUAUGUGUUUAUUGUCAGAAGUUACUGGUGAAUGAGAUUCAAGGCAAGUUGGAAAAUGAACAACAUUCAUUUUCAAUAUCUUGAAAAAGAGCUAAGCAAGUUGUAAGUACAUGAGAUAGUAUAUGCACAAUUGAUUUUUUUCCCAUUGAUUUAUAGCCAAUUUACAAGGUGCUUUUAAGUAAAAUAGAAAAAAAU
RNAcentral lists this long non-coding RNA (571 nucleotides) under Anser brachyrhynchus (Pink-footed goose). RNAcentral describes it as "lncRNA (ENSABRG00000006712.1)". The record is from RNAcentral. Lineage: Eukaryota; Metazoa; Chordata; Aves; Anseriformes; Anatidae.